AAAAAGAGAGUCAAAUUUGUCACAAAUAUUACUUUAUACCCAUCAUCAUCGGUAACUUGGAAUGCUGGAUAAUCAAAUUAGCUCAAGAAAGUCAGCCCUCAGACCUUAUUCAUUUCAAGUUAGGCAAGACAGCAGUAUGUGCUAUCUUCUACUUAAACGGUUACGUUUUGGACAAGCAACAAACUCGGAAACUCGAUAGAAAAGAGCGGCGAUUUGCAAUGGACAGUAAGAGAUCUUUAGCGAAAUAAUAUGGACUUACUGCUGUUUCGUCCGAAAUGACGUCUACUUUUCCGCACUUACUGCUCCCUUACAAAUUUCUUUUUAAAAUUUUUUAUAAUUUAUGGUGUUUUAACUAAAUCUCACUUAAGAUCAUUAUAGGAUCUAGGAUUUUAAGAUCUUUAAGUUCAUAAAAAUUACAUUAUUCGAGUUUUAGGGGGGAACUCGAUGUUGAAAAUUUGGUCGUUCUCUCCGGUAACAUGGCAGCAAAGGUAUGACGCAACGCAUCAAUGACACCGUUUGCCCGUAUCAUUAGCCAAGGCGUCAAGGCCUCUUAACGGCAUCAAGUACAGCUAAGUCCACAAACUUCGAGCGAUUAAAAACGAGCCAUUCCACUAUUUGUUUUUACGCUAAUGUGCUGCAAUACGAAGCCGGGUGCUUUUUAAACAAUAAUUUAGUCGUGAGAGAUGACUCCCCAAUGGCGAACCACACCAAGCGUCUCCGAGGUUACCCCGCUAACACAGCCAUCCUGAUAGCAGCCCAGCUUGUUUUUUCCCGCAAUUUGUUCUUGGUUCUGAUACGCGCUGAAUCUUCCGUAUCACAACAAACUGGACUCUCUUUCGAGACGAACCGGGAAAGAGCCACAGAAUACUACCGGAAACUAAUGACCUGGUCAUCCGGGCAGUACGUAAUGCAGUGGAGAAAACCAAGCUACGGAGGAACCCCGAACUUGGAAGCCCAAAAGCCCGGAACCAGGUUGCAAGUCAGAUCCGAAGACGAAGACAAAGAUCCCACAGUGCCACCGCCACCCCCGAAGACGGUCGAGUUCGAGGAAGAUGGGGAUCCCAUGUACGGGAAGCCGGUGGCUUAUGUGAUGGACCCGCACGAGGACCAGCUCAACGAGCGGAUCGAAGCCAAUGGGGUGGAGAUCUGGGCGAGCAACCCUUGCCAAUGGUACAACGCCGGCUCGGAUUCGCACCCGAACAAAAAGCGAAUGAAGCACUGUAACGAAGCCAAGGAGCAUCUCGAAAAAGCCGGCUUCAAGGACGGUGACAGCUCCCUCUGCCCCAAGAUAGAUGGCGCCGACUGCUUCCAGGUCAAAGAAAAAUUUCAAUCCGGGCGUUGCUACGCACGGGUCUCCGGUAACAACCAGCACCACUACGUUCUCAUGAACAACUGCGUCCGGGACUGGAUGAAGACCAAGCACAUCCGCGGAACGGAAUGGCCGACGGCCAACGCGAACAGCACCCUCCCUGCCACUCCUGAGGUACCCCAUGAGCCGACGGACAUACUAUCCGACGGAGACCCAAAGUACCGGCAACCGGAAGAACGCUCUGACGACCCACCUGACGAUGUCCUUGACCGCGAGAUGAAGGUCAACGGACACAUAAUCUGGUUCCGCAACCCUUGCGAUGACUACGGUCGAGACACGCACUCCGGUGAGAACCGCGAUCGGCGACAAGGCUGCCACAAGCUUGCUCAGGCCAUACACGACGCAGGCUUCAAGAACGGCCAGUCGAAGCUGUGUCCACAGAUCGACGGCGCUGAUUGCUUCCAGUUCUUCGAGAAGGAAAAAGACGGCCGUUGCUACGCCAAGGUCAAGGCACCGGACGGUCUCAAGUACGUUCUCUUCUAUAGUUGCGUCCGCGACUGGCAGAAGCAAAAUAACCUCACGCACGAGGCGAAACUGAUCCCGGAGGGCGCCGGCUAUUACAAUCAACCUGAAUUGAAGCCGACUGAUCCGUCCGACGAAGAGAUGGAUCAGGAUCUCAAGGUGGGGCACACGACGAUCUGGGAGACAAACCCGUGUCGCUACUUCGCGCAUAUUGAUUGGGAUGAUGUAGAUAAAGAUAACGAGGACCUCCGACGCUUGGAUGAUUGUCGCAAUGCGGUGCGGUUCAUGAAGGAGGCCGGCUUUGCGAAUGGGAAGUCUAAGUUGUGUCCGCAGAUCGACGGAGCGAAUUGUUUCCAGUUCAAAGAUUUGGUUAAGUCGGGGCGAUGCUAUGCCAAGGUCAACACGGGGAAGGAGAGGAAGUAUAUUUUGUUGUACGACUGCGUGAAGGACUGGCAGAAGGGAACCAGUGGAAGUGGCGGAAGUAACGGAAGUGACGGAAAUAAUGGAACAAGUGAGUAAAGGGUUGGCUAAUGAGGAACCUCUGGUCUCUGGUGUUGACGCGUAAUCGCCGACUCUCGUCUCAUACGUACAUAAGAACCGCUUUCAGAAAGCUCUCUGGCGCUCUGCGGCAUCCAACCGCCGUAUAAUUCAAAUUUUUGAAGUAGUUAGAUCAAAAUAUCAUUACAAAUUUUUUUUCCACACCUUCAAAAGUUCUACUCGUUUUCAUGUAAAUGACUCGAUUUUGCCGAAAGUAUAAGAUACGACUCUUCUGAUCUGAGCUAUACUAAUGAGUGCAGAGGAUUUCAAUGAAUUUACACCAGAAAAUCUUUAAAAAAUGCCUUAAAAUAUUCUCUUUUAAAUUGCUCGUGUACCUAAUUACUAUAGCAAAUUGCUGUAUAAAGUUGUGAACCCCUUCCCAUCAGAAUCGACUUCUUUGCUUUUCCGCAUGGCUUGCUUUCAUUACAGUGUUAGUGCAUGUGCCGCUGCGCUGAAGAAAAAAACAUAUGAGCAGUUGAACCUUCCAAUUUCCUCCGAAUAAAAUAUUAAAUUUUGGAACAAGUUACGAGUAUUUUCCUAAUAAUAUUUGUAUUCAGAAGCACUAGGAAAACUCAGGAAUAAAAUUUUCUGGAGAAUAUUGAGCGUAGUUCACAUUAAGUUUUAUUAAAAAUUCAUAUUGUAUCAAAAGAAUUGGGCAACGUCUGGCUCAGCGGCGAUUUUACAAGUUGGCAACUCUGUUUUUUCUCAAUUUGUAUCCAUUAAAAAUAUCGAUUCUUGAUAAGGCAAGCUGUUUCACCAAUAAUCGAUUGUUUUAUAUACAUUUGAAUGGAAGAAAAACAGUGUUGCCAUGUUUCAAGAAUCGCCACCGGUCCGACUGUUCAUAUGACGUUUUUUCCUUAUAGGUACCAUGACAGCAUACUACCGUGCUAAGGAAGAACGCCGUAUGAACAUUCGAGAGUUGUCAAAUUUCCUUCGAUAAAAUGUUUAUUUUUGAGGAAAGUUAUGAUUAUUUUUCCUUGAAAUUUUCAGGAACUUUAGGUGAAAUAACGAAAAAAAUUAUCUUAAAAAAUUUGAGGAAAAAUAUUUAUAAAUUUUCCCAAAAAGUCGUGAUUUACCAAAGGAAAUUUGGCAACGCCUGGAGGUUCAUACGGCGUUUUUCCUUAACACGGCAGCAUAGUCCUCGGCUGACUACUCUUUAUAGCCCGGGCUCUCCAAAAAGGGGAUGUUCUCAAAAUCAUACUCAAUGCUUCUUUCUUUUGUAUCCCUAAAUUCGUAUUUUUAGCCAGCAUAUUCCAUAUUUGAUUCGAAGUGUUUGGUAGAUGUUUAAUACAUUUUGAAGCUUUGUGCCUCAGUUCACUCGUCGUUAUGUACAAAUAAUACAAUUUCAUGGAACAGGUUGCUUUGCUUUAACCAACUUUCGCUUCAUGAUAUUUCUACCUGUUUUUUAAAAAUACCUGUACAUCAAUAGCUUUAAAAAAAACACAAUUUACUGUGAACCAUAGACAGUAUAUUUCAGAGACCUCUUAUGCUUUCUUCUCUAUGUAAAGUGUAAGAGUUACUUCCAGGAAUCAGCGCUCAGAUUCGCCAAAUGAUGAUUGAUGAACAAAGAGUUAAGCAAGUAGUGUAACGAUCCUACCCUAAUAAUUUGCGAAAACUUGUUCACCAUAGAGUGCUCAACCCGACAUUCAUCAAUCAUUAUUACGGGUAUUUUAUUUGAAUUAUUGCUGAAUACGUGCUCUUCAAUCAUCGGUAAAAUUCCGAACAAAGGCGCAAACCCCAUAUACGCGAAUGAAAAUUUGCCCUUUCGAGGCGGUGGAAGCAAGGGUUCGUUUGCACGAAUAACUGCCAUUGAAGCUUGAGGAAAUGAGACAAGAACAAUUUUAUCUAUUUUAGAAAGCUGAUAGCAAUGUUUCAUUAUUUUUUAAUGUCGUGUUAUUAAAUAGUCCCUGUCCAAAAUAAGACGAACGAUAGCUUAAAAGUUCAGUGAUAUGUUUGUGACGGUUAUUUCAUCAAAGCCCGAGAAUACAAAUAAAGAAAGCUUGAGAAGAAAUAUGUACUUGCUUAUUGACAACGCCUCACCCAGAAUUUUAUGUGAGGAACUUUAAGCCGGCCGAAUUUUAGCAUCGCAGAAGUUAAAUUGAGGAGUGAGAGAAACGAACAGAGCACCCUCAGUUAGUAUAGUAUGCAACGAAUUUCAUUCUAACGCAUGGAUGCAAUUAUUCGAGCUCCACGGAUGUCCGUGCUGCAUACGCAAGAAAGUGAAGGCGUUUCAACUUUUCCCCCACAGCAUGACAGCGCAGCGGGUUAUACUGUGAGGAUCCGAAUGCAGAAAUGACAGGGGCUUCUAAUUGACAGGGGCGAUUCUUCGUUUGUAAUACAAAUGCAUUUACUAAGCACGUAUAGUUGCACAAAUGCGUAGGAUGUGAGUAUCUUUUGUGCUUCAGUUUUUGAUCUAGCAAUACGCUGCUGAGCAUGAUUUUUAGCGCAACUAUUCGUGGUUAAGAGAUAUCUUUGUAGUAUUAAAGAAGAAUUUAAAGCACUCUGUCGUUUUUGAUCCUCGUAAAUUCGUAAUACAGUCCGCUGUCGCACCUUGCCCCGAUUGAAGCGGUGAGUGCCCGCAGCCAAAACCGCCUUCUUUUCCGUGCGUAUGCAACACGCACAUUCGUGGGGCUCGAAUAGUUGCAUCCAGUCGUUGAAUCGAGAUUCGCUCGGUGUAUUUUGCGUAUGAUACUCCUUAACUUCACGCCGAUUGUGCCGAUGAAGUUAACUUAUACUGAUUUUUAUCGCAACAUUGUCAAUUUUCCGAAAAAUGCAUUGAUUGUUUAAAUAUCUCUCACCGUUGCCGACCCUUAAAAUAGCCAAAAAUUUAAGUAUCUGAACAAGAUUUGUAGUGUUUUAUUUAACUCACAUUAACGAGUCGUCCUUUCCUUGGAUUAUUUCAUCCUCUGGAAAAAAAUUUUGGCGUUUUAGUGCAAAAUUUUUAAAGAACACUUCUCGAAGCCGCCCUAAAGUUCCUCCUCUAAAAUCCUGAUUCAGGCGCAUACGUUUCUUCUUGAGGAGAUUCGUCAGGGUUUUUGGCGUGGUCGAACUGGCGUGCACAUGCUAUACAGAAAUCGAUAGCUGUAUCGAAUGCGAAGUUUACUUCCAAAACAGAACCUGCUUUUAUUUCUAGGAAUUUUGCACAUUUUUUGGUUUAGAAUGAUUUUUUAGGCUCAUGCCCACUAGAGGUUAAAGUCUUUUUUUGCCUAAGAAUUCACAAUCUGCCGAGAAGUUGUACCGAAUAUAUAUGCAUACAUCGCACGCCAGUUCGACCACGCCAGCAUCCAUGACGAAUCACGUACCUUAAGUUUUCCUUUAUCUAGGUAUUUUUGGCUGUAUGAGGCGAGUCUCAGACAGUCUCUUUUUGUUCUUAUUGGUAUCUCUUACUUGUGGGGUUUGCGCUUUUGAGUCCCAACCCAAUCAUCAUCAACGAUGACCUCCGAACUUAACUUUUGACCAACUCGAUUACAUUGCUGAGAUUGUAAGUGCGGGGUCUCUAAAAUAUACUGUCUUUCAUUGUGACAUUUUUCUUGAUAUUAGUGUAAAAAGUUGGUCAUAUUGUUGUAGGUACUACAGAUGACGACUACGACUACACGUCCGAACCGUCCGGAACGUAUUCAACAGGAAGUUGAAUAAAAUGUAAAACAAGACCGGAGGGGAGAUCAAAUAGAAUACAGUAAAUUUAAAUUUAACUCUGCACUUAUCAUCUUGUACUGCCUAAAAUUAUUAUUUACUCUUUCAUCAAACUGAAGAAAUGCCCAUACAAAACAUAGGCAAAAUUAAAAACCAAAAAAUUUGGAGUAAAAUCACUUGAACUCUUAAAUUAGAAAAAUUUUGAGUAGUACCUACCUCUACAGGUAUUUUUCCGUAAAUAUGAGUUCUCAAGUCUCAUGCCAAAACAAUAAUUGGAGCGUACAAUUUUAAAUAAUUUCAAACGUCAACAUUUUAAGGGACAAUAUUCUAGGAGGUAUCUUCGCUGUCAGAGAUGAUUUAUACAUCAUCUCUGAAAGAAAUAAAAAUUAUUAUAAAUGAUCGGUGAUCGAAGUCCUACCUGCAGAUGGCUACAAAGUCGAAGAAAACGAAUUUAUACGAUUGCACCGCUGCUGCGUUUUAUUACAGUUUUAAAAAGAAACCAACCAAUAUGUUUCCCUGAAAUGUUAUAUCCACUCAUACAUUCAGAAAUAUCCACAAAAUAUUCCAGGGUUUCUUGUAAAGUUUUUUUUAAAUGUUAAAAACUAAUUUUGGACAGAAAUUGCACCGUUGUGUACUCUCGAAAAAAGUGAAUCGUUUGAGUUGAUUUUGCAAUCAUUGAGUUAAGUUACAUUCCUUCGUCCAACAAGCGACAAAUUUUGCUAUCCCGGCUGUGACUAAGCGCUAACUACAAUUUUUUUUCCUACUGGGAGAAACGCAUCUUGCAUGUUAUCAAUGAAAUGAGAGAGUAUAUACCCAAACACGCAUUAUAAUACGUUAUAAUUUAUUAUACGUACUUUUUAAAUUAUGUAAUUUUGUUCUAUCUUUUUAUUUAUUGAAAGCCUCACUACGCGCGCUGAGUAAAAACGCCGUUUAUAUUCAGUACCUUAGAGCCAAAAGGUACCUAAGUCACAUUUUGGAGAAAAAUCGAGUUAGUGCCGUUUUGAAAAUCUCCAAUAACGGUUUCGUGCGUGUGGAAAAUUUGGUAGCCCUAUCUUACGCCGGUUAUGAGACGAUACGGAAUUUCAAAAAUUACGAUUUACUUUGGAAUUAAUUGGGCCGACGCACACGUUUUCCCUGAUAUCUGAGAAUGACUAAAUUGGAGUUCAGUACCUUUUGACUCUGGGGUACUAAAUUUGAGCUUUGGCAAAUUUCCUCUGAUAAAAGAUUUAACUUUAUGCAAGGUCAGUAAUGUUUUCCUUGGCAUUUUCACGUACACUGGGGGGAAAAUUACCUGAAUUUGCGGUUAGGAGG
Molecule: long non-coding RNA, 7312 nt
Filed under: Bemisia tabaci
Lineage: Eukaryota; Metazoa; Arthropoda; Insecta; Hemiptera; Aleyrodidae
Description: lncRNA ENSSSA2NGG008380
Source: RNAcentral